CCUACGGGAGGCAGCAGUGGGGAAUUUUGGACAAUGGGGGAAACCCUGAUCCAGCCAUUCCGCGUGAGUGAAGAAGGCCUUCGGGUUGUAAAGCUCUUUCGGCAGGAACGAAACGGCGGGCUCUAACAUAGUCUGUCAAUGACGGUACCUGAAGAAGAAGCACCGGCUAACUACGUGCCAGCAGCCGCGGUAAUACGUAGGGUGCGAGCGUUAAUCGGAAUUACUGGGCGUAAAGCGUGCGCAGGCGGCUUUGUAAGACGGAUGAAAAAUCCCUGGGCUUAACCUAGGAACUGCGUUCGGGACUGCAAAGCAAGAGUGCGGAAGAGGGGGGUGGAAUUCCGGGUGUAGCAGUAAAAUGCGUAGAGAUCAGGAGGAACACCGAUGGCGAAGGCGGCCCCCUGGGUUGGCACUGACGCACAGGCACGAAAGCGGGGGGAGCAAACAGGAUUAGAUCCCUGGGUAGU
This 464-nucleotide ribosomal RNA is filed under the name uncultured Rhodocyclaceae bacterium. RNAcentral describes it as "partial 16S ribosomal RNA". It matches the Rfam family "Bacterial small subunit ribosomal RNA", at positions 338 to 794 of the family's 1533-position model. Lineage: Bacteria; Pseudomonadati; Pseudomonadota; Betaproteobacteria; Rhodocyclales; Rhodocyclaceae. The record is from RNAcentral.